GAUGAACGCUGGCGGCGUGCCUAAUACAUGCAAGUCGAGCGAACAGACGAGGAGCUUGCUCCUCUGACGUUAGCGGCGGACGGGUGAGUAACACGUGGAUAACCUACCUAUAAGACUGGGAUAACUUCGGGAAACCGGAGCUAAUACCGGAUAAUAUAUUGAACCGCAUGGUUCAAUAGUGAAAGACGGUUUUGCUGUCACUUAUAGAUGGAUCCGCGCCGCAUUAGCUAGUUGGUAAGGUAACGGCUUACCAAGGCAACGAUGCGUAGCCGACCUGAGAGGGUGAUCGGCCACACUGGAACUGAGACACGGUCCAGCCUCCUACGGGAGGCAGCAGUAGGGAAUCUUCCGCAAUGGGCGAAAUCUUGACGGAGCAACGCCGCGUGAGUGAUGAAGUUCUUCGGAUCGUAAAACUCUGUUAUUAGGGAAGAACAAAUGUGUAAGUAACUAUGCACGUCUUGACGGUACCUAAUCAGAAAGCCACGGCUAACUACGUG
Molecule: ribosomal RNA, 497 nt
Filed under: uncultured bacterium
Lineage: Bacteria
Description: partial 16S ribosomal RNA
Rfam family: Bacterial small subunit ribosomal RNA
Source: RNAcentral